GUGGGGGUAGCGAAGUGGCCAAACGCGAUGGACUCAAGAUCCAUUCCCUUAGUGGGUUCCGGGGUUCGAAUCCUCGCCCCCACA
Molecule: transfer RNA, 84 nt
Filed under: Candidatus Woesearchaeota archaeon
Lineage: Archaea; Nanobdellati; Candidatus Woesearchaeota
Description: tRNA-Leu
Rfam family: tRNA
About the family: Transfer RNA (tRNA) molecules are approximately 80 nucleotides in length. Their secondary structure includes four short double-helical elements and three loops (D, anti-codon, and T loops). Further hydrogen bonds mediate the characteristic L-shaped molecular structure. tRNAs have two regions of fundamental functional importance: the anti-codon, which is responsible for specific mRNA codon recognition, and the 3' end, to which the tRNAs corresponding amino acid is attached (by aminoacyl-tRNA synthetases). tRNAs cope with the degeneracy of the genetic code in two manners: having more than one tRNA (with a specific anti-codon) for a particular amino acid; and 'wobble' base-pairing, i.e. permitting non-standard base-pairing at the 3rd anti-codon position.
Source: RNAcentral